CCUACGGGUGGCAGCAGUGGGGAAUAUUGCGCAAUGGGCGAAAGCCUGACGCAGCGACGCCGCGUGAGGGAUGAAGGUCUUCGGAUCGUUAACCUCUGUCAGCAGGGAAGAACGGUCACUGUGCUAAUCAGCAGUGAAUUGACGGUACCUGCAAAGGAAGCACCGGCUAACUCCGUGCCCGCAGCCGCGGUAAUACGGCGGGUGCGAGCGUUAAUCGGAAUUACUGGGCGUAAAGCGCUCGUAGGCGGUAUGUCAAGUCAAGGGUGAAAUCCCCGCGCUCAACGUGGGAACUGCCUUUGAAACUGGCAAACUGGAGUGUGUGAGAGGAUAGCGGAAUUCCAGGGGUAGGAGUGAAAUCCGUAGAUAUCUGGAGGAACAUCAGUGGCGAAGGCGACUAUCUGGCACAUAACUGACGCUGAGGAGCGAAAGCGUGGGUAGCAAACAGGAUUAGAUACCCGGGUAGUC
RNAcentral lists this ribosomal RNA (465 nucleotides) under uncultured bacterium. Its description in RNAcentral is "partial 16S ribosomal RNA". It matches the Rfam family "Bacterial small subunit ribosomal RNA", at positions 338 to 795 of the family's 1533-position model. The record is from RNAcentral.